AGAGUUUGAUCCUGGCUCAGGACGAACGCUGGCGGCGUGCUUAACACAUGCAAGUCGAACGGUGACCUGCGGAGCUUGCUCCGCGGCGAUCAGUGGCGAACGGGUGAGUAACACGUGAGUAACCUGCCCCAGACUCUGGAAUAACCCCGGGAAACCGGAGCUAAUACCGGAUACGAGACAGAGAGGCAUCUCUACUGUCUGGAAAGUUUUUCGGUCUGGGAUGGACUCGCGGCCUAUCAGCUUGUUGGUGAGGUAACGGCUCACCAAGGCGACGACGGGUAGCCGGCCUGAGAGGGCGACCGGCCACACUGGGACUGAGACACGGCCCAGACUCCUACGGGAGGCAGCAGUGGGGAAUAUUGCACAAUGGGCGAAAGCCUGAUGCAGCGACGCCGCGUGAGGGAUGACGGCCUUCGGGUUGUAAACCUCUUUCAGCAGGGAAGAAGCGCAAGUGACGGUACCUGCAGAAGAAGCACCGGCUAACUACGUGCCAGCCGCCGCGGUAAUUC
RNAcentral lists this ribosomal RNA (509 nucleotides) under uncultured bacterium. RNAcentral describes it as "bacterial SSU rRNA". It matches the Rfam family "Bacterial small subunit ribosomal RNA", at positions 8 to 526 of the family's 1533-position model. The record is from RNAcentral.